GUAAAGCUCAAAGCACACAUUGCACCUCA
Molecule: non-coding RNA, 29 nt
Filed under: Mus musculus (house mouse)
Lineage: Eukaryota; Metazoa; Chordata; Mammalia; Rodentia; Muridae
Source: RNAcentral